GAGUUUGAUCGUGGCUCAGGAUUAACGCUAGCGGCAGGCCUAAUACAUGCAAGUUGAACGGGAUUUCGGGUAGCAAUAUCUGAAUGAGAGUAGCGCACGGGUGCGUAACACGUAUGCAACCUACCUAUAACUGGGGGAUAGCCUCCCGAAAGGGAGAUUAAUACCGCAUAAUAUUAUUGAGUGGCAUCACUUGAUAAUUAAACCUCAGGGGGUUAUAGAUGGGCAUGCGUCCGAUUAGCUAGUUGGUGAGGUAAUGGCUCACCAAGGCUACGAUCGGUAGGGGGUCUGAGAGGAUGAUCCCCCACACUGGUACUGAGACACGGACCAGACUCCUACGGGAGGCAGCAGUAAGGAAUAUUGGACAAUGGGCGCAAGCCUGAUCCAGCCAUGCCGCGUGAAGGAUGAAGGCCCUAUGGGUCGUAAACUUCUUUUAAACGGGACCGAAACCCCUCGACGUGUCGAGGGCUGACGGUACCGUAAGAA
This 483-nucleotide ribosomal RNA is filed under the name uncultured Sphingobacterium sp. RNAcentral's name for it is "bacterial SSU rRNA". It matches the Rfam family "Bacterial small subunit ribosomal RNA", at positions 9 to 486 of the family's 1533-position model. The record is from RNAcentral. Lineage: Bacteria; Pseudomonadati; Bacteroidota; Sphingobacteriia; Sphingobacteriales; Sphingobacteriaceae.